Ipomoea nil (Japanese morning glory) is the source of this 255-nucleotide long non-coding RNA. RefSeq lists it as uncharacterized. NCBI's taxonomy places the organism in Eukaryota, Viridiplantae, Streptophyta, Magnoliopsida, Solanales, Convolvulaceae. The record is from RefSeq and is a predicted model, not a curated record. The transcript is spliced from 3 exons.
AUUUAUUUAAAAAAGAAGAUGCAUUUGCUAGUACAAAGGCUAGAUUUUCACUUAAAAAUGGAAGAAUAACAUGAAUGACAUUUUUUCCCUUCAUUUACAUGGUGCAAACUGAGCAAAUUAAUGGCUGGACCAUCGUUGGUAACAUUUUGAAACUCAAAGCACCACAGUUGGUAACAUUUUGAAACUCGGAUGGAAAAUCAAAAAUGAUCAAUUUUAAAAUUUAGGACUAUAAUUGGUAACAUUUUGAAACUCGGA